Molecule: long non-coding RNA, 550 nt
Organism: Trichosurus vulpecula (common brushtail)
Lineage: Eukaryota; Metazoa; Chordata; Mammalia; Diprotodontia; Phalangeridae
Exons: 3
Source: RefSeq, a predicted model, not a curated record
UGAAUCACGAUUUCAGAGGACAUUGGGCCAUCUCACCUCAAGACUAACAUAAGAAGAAAAACCAUAGUGAAGACAAUUCACAUGAGUUCACCUACAUCUGCUAUGUAAGAUAAGAAAACGGACAUUCUAGAAGAGCUUUUGAUACAGCCCUCUAAAUUAACUUAACAUAUCCUUUGGAACUCAGUGACUUAAGUACAAAGUUACAGUGGAGCCACUACAACUGGACUCUAACAUCAGAGGCCUUGAUGUGCUACAUGAAGAAUCACAAAUGGCACUAAAGGAAACCAAAAUGAGAAGAGGCAGCUAGACUAGUCCAAGUACACAGAGCACUAGGGGACCACCUUCAGUCCUCCUGAUCUUUAUCUUACCACUAGACCCUGAUGGCUCCAGAGGAGAAAGUGAGGCUGGUGACUCUGUACAGCCCUCCCUUCACUUAAAUCCAAUUCAUCUGCAUGUCAUGACAUGACCUUCCUGGUGUCCUGGUCCUCUUCUGAGAACAAAGGACAAACAAUAAAUAACCGAAGCCUAGCACUAAGCACAGUGCCUAGCA